GAAACACUGAAGCAUCUGAAAGCAUCAAGGAAUAGAAGUUCUGUAGUAAUUCAGGUAAUGUCAGGUGAUGCAAUAUUUAAGCUGUGUUUAGAGUCAAUGUUAGUAACAGUGCUGUAGUACAGUAACAGUAAUGUAGUUUACUGUACUGUAGUUUAAAAUACUACUGUAUUAGUACUGUAUUAGUACUACUGUACUGUAGUUUAAAAUUUGAUUAAACAAAAUGCUGAUAUAUACCCUGAUUCACCAAGGUAGUUGCAGUUGCUAUGUAUUUUUACUAUACUUUGGAUAUCAUGUGGGGGCAAGGCAGUAUAAAGAUAUGGCACACUUUUUAAUCAUGGAUGUAGCUUUGUUGUAUCUUCAUUAAGUAUGUGUGUGAUCUUAUGCACAAAGAGAUGAAAGUAGGCAGUACCUUUGUAUCAAAGGAAAGAAUUAAAAACAGCCAAGAGCAAGACAUCACUUCAGCAGAUGAAGCACAGAGCAGACCUAGAUUCAUCCAACAUUUUCAAAUAUACAUGGAAAAAGUAAGACUGUUUGUAAAUUCUACUUCAUCAGAAUAAAUGCUUUCCUCUGGAGGAUGUUGACCAUUACUUGGGAAGAAAAAAAAAAAAAAAAAGGAAAAAAGAAAAGGAAAAAAAAAAGGUUUCCAGUGCUAUAGGGAGUAAAUUUACUUUUUGUUUGCUGUAAAAAUGCUGAAAAGUUUAUGUUUAAAAAUACCCUAUAAAAAAAUGUAAAAAAAAAAAAAAAAAAAGAGGUUUAAUUUAGAAAAUUUGAAACUCAAUUGGUUUUGGAUGCUCUGGUUUCAAAACUUAUAUGAGCUGUAUUUGCUACAUUUUCUCCAGAACUGUACUGAUUUGAAAGGGUAUUGAAUAUCUGGAAAUCUUGGGAGCCACAGAUGACCACUGGAACCUGGUUUGUGAAAUUUUCUCAUAGCUUUGGAAGACCUCCAGCUGAACCCAGACUGCUUGUUACAGACAGACUUCUUCAGACAGAGACAAAAGCUUGGUUACAAUGGUGUCAACUUAUGUUUUUAUAUAUUUUCUACAGAUACGAGGGCAAUCUAAAGGUUAUAGGAACAUGGAAAUUGUUAUACAAGAUUGGUUUAAG
This 1104-nucleotide long non-coding RNA is filed under the name Anser cygnoides (Swan goose). Its description in RNAcentral is "lncRNA (ENSACDG00005009348.1)". Lineage: Eukaryota; Metazoa; Chordata; Aves; Anseriformes; Anatidae. The record is from RNAcentral.